UCCCCCUACAGAGCACAUCUUCAUCCAUGUGCUGUGAGCCGAAAGCCUGAGUCUGCAUUCAAAAUCAAUUACACAUUUCUACAGAGCUUUGCUGCCAGGCAACAGGGCACAGUGGAGUGACAGCAAUUAGAAGUGGCAAAGGGAAUUCUGGACUAGAAAGAUGGCUGGUACAAUAACAGUGCAAACACUGAGUUUUGAAAAUGGUAACAUCUGUCUGAUUGACAAGAAUCUGGAGCUGCCUAGAGCUAAUAUCUGAAACACUGGAGCUGCAACUUCUGAAGUAACUGUGUCUUUUGGCAAGGCCCGUAGAGUAUGAAGGAGAUGAACCACAGCACUGGAAACAGAGAGCCUAAUUAUAACAUGAGCAAAAGAAAAUAAAGUUAACUCCAAAAACCCCAAAAGCAAUAAACUGCUGACAAGAAGAGCCAUAGACCCAGCAGCAAGAAAAUACACAGCAAUCUUCAGGCAUUCUGAGUGGAAGGCACUUAACACAGGAGUAUAACUCAAAUUAGUUGUACAGUUAUUUCUGGAAGUAUUUUGACAUUUGCAGUGAACUGUAGUCUAACAGACUGAGCCAACAGAAACAAAACUGUUCUUUUGCACAUAAUAAGCACUCAUUGUUUAGAAGCAAUCUCGUGCCUAUAAUGCAAUUUUGUGACAGCUAUACAUUGCAUUAACACCAGAUCAUGUUUGGAUGGCAAG
Empidonax traillii (willow flycatcher) is the source of this 702-nucleotide long non-coding RNA. RefSeq lists it as uncharacterized. The record is from RefSeq and is a predicted model, not a curated record. Lineage: Eukaryota; Metazoa; Chordata; Aves; Passeriformes; Tyrannidae. The transcript has 3 exons.